RNAcentral lists this ribosomal RNA (460 nucleotides) under uncultured bacterium. RNAcentral's name for it is "partial 16S ribosomal RNA". It matches the Rfam family "Bacterial small subunit ribosomal RNA", at positions 338 to 795 of the family's 1533-position model. The record is from RNAcentral.
ACUACGGGUGGCAGCAGUGAGGAAUAUUGGUCAAUGGGCGGAAGCCUGAACCAGCCAAGUAGCGUGCAGGAUGACGGCCCUACGGGUUGUAAACUGCUUUUAUACGGGAAUAACGCGCCUUACGUGUAGGGCUUUGCAUGUACCGUAUGAAUAAGGACCGGCUAAUUCCGUGCCAGCAGCCGCGGUAAUACGGAAGGUCCGGGCGUUAUCCGGAUUUAUUGGGUUUAAAGGGAGCGUAGGCCGCAUGUCAAGCGUGCUGUGAAAUGUCCGGGCUCAACCCGGGCCUUGCAGCGCGAAAUGGCGUGCUUGAGUCCGCGGAAAGCAGGCGGAAUUCGUCGUGUAGCGGUGAAAUGCUUAGAUAUGACGAAGAACCCCGAUUGCGAAGGCAGCUUGCUGCAGCGGAACUGACGCUGAUGCUCGAAAGCGCGGGUAUCGAACAGGAUUAGAUACCCUGGUAGUC